Molecule: ribosomal RNA, 212 nt
Filed under: uncultured bacterium
Lineage: Bacteria
Description: partial 16S ribosomal RNA
Rfam family: Bacterial small subunit ribosomal RNA
Source: RNAcentral
CGGGGACAACAUUCCGAAAGGGAUGCUAAUACCGGAUGUGACGCUCCUAUCGCAUGACGGGAGCGUGAAAGAUGGCCUCUACAUGUAAGCUAUCGCUAAAGGAUGGGCCUGCGUCUGAUUAGCUAGUUGGUAGCGUAACGGACAACCAAGGCGAUGAUCAGUAGCCGGUCUGAGAGGAUGAACGGCCACAUUGGGACUGAGACACGGCCCAG